GAAUAUAGUGUAAUGGGGAAACGCAUAAAGUUUUGAUCUCUUAUGAAUAGGUUCAAUUCCUAUUUUUUCA
RNAcentral lists this transfer RNA (70 nucleotides) under Boulengerula boulengeri (Usambara bluish-gray caecilian). Its description in RNAcentral is "tRNA-Gln". It matches the Rfam family "tRNA". From Rfam's summary of the family: Transfer RNA (tRNA) molecules are approximately 80 nucleotides in length. The record is from RNAcentral. Lineage: Eukaryota; Metazoa; Chordata; Amphibia; Gymnophiona; Herpelidae.